Molecule: long non-coding RNA, 1276 nt
Organism: Oncorhynchus kisutch (coho salmon)
Lineage: Eukaryota; Metazoa; Chordata; Actinopteri; Salmoniformes; Salmonidae
Exons: 2
Source: RefSeq, a predicted model, not a curated record
GUGGACUCCCUGGGUGCUGGUGUAAUCUGGAAGCUACGUGCCAGUUUCAUAGCUUGUUGAACUUUGGAAGUUAAGUUUUUUUUUUUUCCAGUGUUGGAUUGAUGUUGUUGCAGUUAUGUCAGAGGCCAUCCUCACCUUCCAGUACCAGCUCAAUGGCGUCAUGGAAACGGUCCUCAAAACCGCUGUGCAUGAGAUCACUUGGCUGGUGAAGUACAGCUUCCUAGAAGAAGUGACAGGGAGCAAGCGGGAAGUUGACGUCUUGAAGGAGAGGCUGCAGCAGUGUGAACACAGAUGAAGGGAUGGAGAGGAGAAGAGGAGGGAAGAUAAAGAGCAGAAAAAGAAGAGGGAAGAGUGCGAGCCGAGGGGGAUGUGUUGGAGAUGUGGUUGUGCUGGAGACACUGAGGAGAGAGAAGAGGCUCUGUUAGCAGAGGAAGGUUGUGUUAUCAAACAGGAGAUCUUCCAGUCAGGUGGACCCAGCACUCUCCCAGAGAGAAAGGGUCCACAGGAAAUGGCCACACCCAGCUCUUCCUGUGUUUCUGAAAGGAUGGAAGAGAGGGAGGCCCAUGUCGUCUGCAUCAAAGAGGAGCCUGAUGACUGGGGGGGAUCUGAUUACCCAGAUGAUCACAUCCACAUAUUCCCCCAUUAUGAGCCAGAGUCGUCUGGAGAGAUUGAAGUCACAUCAUGGGGCCAGUGAGCUUCUUCCUACAGUACCAGCACCAUGGACCAGGAAAGAGCAGCACCUACUCCCAAGGUCAGUGAUACCCACCCAGGGAACAGAGCAUGCUGUGGGUGCCCUCAAGGACAGCCCCUACGGCCUGAUGAUCAACACAACGGCAGAGCUGGUGUCAAACCCUACAGCUGCCCACACUGUGGGAAGAGCUUCCCUCAGCUCUGAAAUCUGAAAGACCACCAGAAGUACCACCACACAGGGAAGAAGGCCUUCACCUGCUCCCAGUGUGGUAAGGGUUUUGCGUACGUGUGCCACCUCAGGGUACACAUGCAGCGCCACACGGGGGACAGGCCGUUCAGCUGCUCUCAGUGUGGGAAAAGCUUCAGCCUUCAGAGCGGCUUGAAGAGACGCAUGGUCCUUAACAGAUUCAAUUCUAGAGUGGACCUGAAAAGACAUGAACAGAUAGAUUCAUGCAGCAAGGUAGACCUUUGAGAUGAAGCAGGUUGAUUGGGGGGGAAUAACUGCCCAUGUGUACUAUGUUCAAUGUAUCUAUUAGUUGCUGAUUCAUUUAAUGUUGAGAGGAAUAAAACUAUUUUUAUAAAUAAA